UACGAAGGGGGCUAGCGUUGUUCGGAAUUACUGGGCGUAAAGCGCGUGUAGGCGGGUCUUUUAAGUUCAGGGGUGAAAUGCCAAGGCUCAACCUUGGAACUGCCUUUGAUACUGGAGACCUUGAGUCCGGGAGAGGUGAGUGGAAUUGCGAGUGUAGAGGUGAAAUCGUAGAUAUUCGCAAGAACACCAGUGGCGAAGGCGGCUCACUGGCCCGGAACUGACGCUGAGAUGCGAAAGCGUGGGGAGCAAACAGG
Molecule: ribosomal RNA, 254 nt
Filed under: uncultured bacterium
Lineage: Bacteria
Description: partial 16S ribosomal RNA
Rfam family: Bacterial small subunit ribosomal RNA
Source: RNAcentral